RNAcentral lists this ribosomal RNA (492 nucleotides) under uncultured bacterium. RNAcentral describes it as "partial 16S ribosomal RNA". It matches the Rfam family "Bacterial small subunit ribosomal RNA", at positions 29 to 507 of the family's 1533-position model. The record is from RNAcentral.
AGUGAACGCUGGCGGUAGGCCUAACACAUGCAAGUCGAACGGCAGCACAGUAAGAGCUUGCUCUUACGGGUGGCGAGUGGCGGACGGGUGAGGAAUACAUCGGAAUCUACUUUUUCGUGGGGGAUAACGUAGGGAAACUUACGCUAAUACCGCGUACGACCUACGGGUGAAAGCAGGGGAUCUUCGGACCUUGCGCGAUUGAAUGAGCCGAUGUCGGAUUAGCUAGUUGGCGGGGUAAAGGCCCACCAAGGCGACGAUCCGUAGCUGGUCUGAGAGGAUGAUCAGCCACACUGGAACUGAGACACGGUCCAGACUCCUACGGGAGGCAGCAGUGGGGAAUAUUGGACAAUGGGCGCAAGCCUGAUCCAGCCAUACCGCGUGGGUGAAGAAGGCCUUCGGGUUGUAAAGCCCUUUUGUUGGGAAAGAAAAGCAGCAGGUUAAUACCCCGAUGUUCUGACGGUACCCAAAGAAUAAGCACCGGCUAACUUCGUG